UACGGAGGGGGCUAGCGUUGUUCGGAAUUACUGGGCGUAAAGCGCACGUAGGCGGCUUUGUAAGUUAGAGGUGAAAGCCCGGGGCUCAACCCCGGAAUAGCCUUUAAGACUGCAUCGCUUGAACGUCGGAGAGGUGAGUGGAAUUCCGAGUGUAGAGGUGAAAUUCGUAGAUACUCGGAAGAACACCAGUGGCGAAGGCGGCUCACCGGACGACUGUUGACGCUGAGGUGCGAAAGCGUGGGGAGCAAACAGG
This 253-nucleotide ribosomal RNA is filed under the name uncultured bacterium. RNAcentral's name for it is "partial 16S ribosomal RNA". It matches the Rfam family "Bacterial small subunit ribosomal RNA", at positions 524 to 776 of the family's 1533-position model. The record is from RNAcentral.